GAGUGCUAAGAGAAUGGUUUAACAAUUUUAAGCUUUCUUUAAUUAAAAAAUUGAAUUUAAUUUUUUUUGUGAAGAAGCAAAAAUUUAAAUUAGGGACAAGAAGACCCUAUGAAUUUUGAAUUAAACAAUAUAAUUUGUAUAGGUUUAUUUUGUUUAAAUUAAUUGGGGUGAUUUGGAAAGAAUAUGUAUCUUUUUAAGAAAAUUAAUUUGUUCCGUUUUUAACGAUUUUAUGAAAAAAAUACUCUAGGGAUAACAGCGUAAUAAUUUUGGAUAGUUCAUAUAGAUAAAAUAGUUUGCGACCUCGAUGUUGGAUUAGGAUUCUUUUUUAGUGAAGAAAUUAAAGAGAAGAAGUUUGUUCAACUUUUAAAUUCCUACUUGAUCUGAGUUCAGACCGGA
RNAcentral lists this ribosomal RNA (396 nucleotides) under Ixodes ariadnae. Its description in RNAcentral is "partial 16S ribosomal RNA". The stretch from base 64 to 396 matches the Rfam family "Bacterial large subunit ribosomal RNA", at positions 2048 to 2620 of the family's 2925-position model. Lineage: Eukaryota; Metazoa; Arthropoda; Arachnida; Ixodida; Ixodidae. The record is from RNAcentral.